RNAcentral lists this small RNA (332 nucleotides) under Bacillus subtilis. RNAcentral describes it as "bacterial LSU rRNA". The stretch from base 1 to 148 matches the Rfam family "Bacterial small subunit ribosomal RNA", at positions 1387 to 1533 of the family's 1533-position model. Lineage: Bacteria; Bacillati; Bacillota; Bacilli; Caryophanales; Bacillaceae. The record is from RNAcentral.
ACACCGCCCGUCACACCACGAGAGUUUGUAACACCCGAAGUCGGUGGGGUAACCUUUUUGGAGCCAGCCGCCUAAGGUGGGACAGAUGAUUGGGGUGAAGUCGUAACAAGGUAGCCGUAUCGGAAGGUGCGGCUGGAUCACCUCCUUUCUAUGGAGAAUUGAUGAACGCUGUUCAUCAAUAAAGUUUCCGUGUUUCGUUUUGUUCAGUUUUGAGAGAACUAUCUCUCAUAUAUAAAUGUAUGUUCUUUGAAAACUAGAUAACAGUGUAGCUCAUAUUUUUUAAUUUUAAGUUGGGUAAAUUUAAAAAGGGCGCACGGGGGAUGCCUUGACAC